Molecule: ribosomal RNA, 394 nt
Filed under: uncultured bacterium
Lineage: Bacteria
Description: partial 16S ribosomal RNA
Rfam family: Bacterial small subunit ribosomal RNA
Source: RNAcentral
AUACGUAUGGGGCGAGCGUUAUCCGGAAUCAUUGGGCGUAAGGCGCGCGUAGGCGGCUGUCCAAGCGGGGCGUCAAAUCCCGGGGCUCAACCCCGGGCCGCGCCCCGAACUGGGCGGCUUGAGUCCGGUAGGGGGAGGCGGAAUUCCCGGUGUAGCGGUGAAAUGCGCAGAUAUCGGGAAGAACACCGGUGGCGAAGGCGGCCUCCCGGGCCGCGACUGACGCUGAGGCGCGAAAGCUAGGGGAGCGAACAGGAUUAGAUACCCUGGUAGUCCUAGCCGUAAACGAUGGGCACUAGGUGUGGGGAAGACCGAUCCUCCGUGCCGCAGCCAACGCAUUAAGUGCCCCGCCUGGGGAGUACGGCCGCAAGGCUAAAACUCAAAUGAAUUGACGGGG